RNAcentral lists this ribosomal RNA (435 nucleotides) under uncultured bacterium. RNAcentral describes it as "partial 16S ribosomal RNA". It matches the Rfam family "Bacterial small subunit ribosomal RNA", at positions 29 to 507 of the family's 1533-position model. The record is from RNAcentral.
AGCGAACGCUGGCGGCAGGCUUAACACAUGCAAGUCGAGCGGGCAUAGCAAUAUGUCAGCGGCAGACGGGUGAGUAGCGCGUGGGAACCUACCUUUUGGUUCGGAACAACUGAGGGAAACUUCAGCUAAUACCGGAUAAGCCCUUACGGGGAAAGAUUUAUCGCCGAAAGAUCGGCCCGCGUCUGAUUAGCUAGUUGGUGAGGUAAUGGCUCACCAAGGCGACGAUCAGUAGCUGGUCUGAGAGGAUGAUCAGCCACAUUGGGACUGAGACACGGCCCAAACUCCUACGGGAGGCAGCAGUGGGGAAUAUUGGACAAUGGGCGCAAGCCUGAUCCAGCCAUGCCGCGUGAGUGAUGAAGGCCCCAGGGUUGUAAAGCUCUUUUGUGCGGGAAGAUAAUGACGGUACCGCAAGAAUAAGCCCCGGCUAACUUCGUG